AGUGAACGCUGGCGGUAGGCCUAACACAUGCAAGUCGAACGGCAGCACAGUAAGAGCUUGCUCUUACGGGUGGCGAGUGGCGGACGGGUGAGGAAUACAUCGGAAUCUACUUUUUCGUGGGGGAUAACGUAGGGAAACUUACGCUAAUACCGCAUACGACCUACGGGUGAAAGCAGGGGAUCUUCGGACCUUGCGCGAUUGAAUGAGCCGAUGUCGGAUUAGCUAGUUGGCGGGGUAAAGGCCCACCAAGGCGACGAUCCGUAGCUGGUCUGAGAGGAUGAUCAGCCACCCUGGAACUGAGACACGGUCCAGACUCCUACGGUAGGCAGCAGUGGGGAAUAUUGCACAAUGGGCGCAAGCCUGAUCCAGCCAUACCGCGUGGGUGAAGAAGGCCUUCGGGUUGUAAAGCCCUUUUGUUGGGAAAGAAAAGCAGCAGGUUAAUCCCCCGCUGUUCUGACGGUACCCAAAGAAUAAGCACCGGCUAACUUCGUG
This 492-nucleotide ribosomal RNA is filed under the name uncultured bacterium. Its description in RNAcentral is "partial 16S ribosomal RNA". It matches the Rfam family "Bacterial small subunit ribosomal RNA", at positions 29 to 507 of the family's 1533-position model. The record is from RNAcentral.